RNAcentral lists this long non-coding RNA (1138 nucleotides) under Ananas comosus (pineapple). Its description in RNAcentral is "long non-coding RNA (ACOM_LNC007032)". The record is from RNAcentral. Lineage: Eukaryota; Viridiplantae; Streptophyta; Magnoliopsida; Poales; Bromeliaceae.
UUGGGAAACCAUUUUUUUAUUCUCUUGCACUUCCCCUCUUAACUUUUGUACUUCUUCCAUUGAUUCCGAGUUAUAACACACACAACUUUCAGAUGGGAUCAAUCCUAGCCCUCCCACUCGGCCACCAUACUUUUUUCUUAUAACUUCGAUAUAAAUUUUGUUUUCCAUUGCAAUCACAUCCUCUCGAGAAGAUUCAGAUGUUCCCGAGCAAUUAGCCAAUUUGUCUUUAGCAUCAACCUAUACAAUAAGUUUUGUUAGCACAUUUAUAGAAAGCAUCAACUUAUGAAAGAUAAAAUGACACGAGCAGCAUUCCUACAAACCCAUAGUCCCAAAAUAUGAAACAAUAACAAAAAGAAAAUAGUUUGCUCCACGAGUCCCAGCAAAUAUUCAAACAGUUGAUAUAGGCUACCAGAGAUACACAAUUCAACUUAGACUUUCAACAUUUUCCUUUCAGAAUCAUUUAAACAGAGAGAUGAAAACAUUAAAGGAUCACUUUCUAACUUCACAAUGCAUGCGCAUCGCAUGAAUUAUCAAAAUUACACAUUACCUUUUAAAGAUAUACUACAAAUUUAUAUAGAAAUUAUACGGACAUUACAUGAUAACAACAUUUAGGUUAAAAUGAGAGGUGCAACAUCAUAGCCAGUUUGGCACACUAUUAUUUACUCAUUACGGGGAAUAAACAUCAUGAUAUAAAAGCACAAAUAUAAUAUGUAACAAGAUUUGAUGCUCCACAUAAGUAAAACUAUCAAAUAAGUAUUGCAAGCUUAGUUAUCAACACAUUUAUUCAGCACAUAAGGAUAAUAUCCAAGAGCUCUAGGAUGUUUCAUGUUUAGGAAUUUAAAUUAAAAAAAGACAACGAUUUGACCAUCGACUAUCUAAACGAAUGUUGCAUGGAACUAUACUAAAAGAAUCCAUUAACUUAGACAUGCUAUCUAGCUAGAUUAUAGACAUAUAGUAAAUAUAGAGUUUAAAGCUAACAAACAUAGUAUUAAAAUUACCUUUAAUUUUUUCGCAUCGUCACUUAUAAAUGAUCCAUUUUUUUUCGUGUGAGUUAGUUCGAACAUCUCAACAAGUCCAUGUACUCUGCCAGUUGUAUCUUCCUGCAAAUAUCAUAAUAUAGACAAGUAUAAGAAUGUUG